GUUUGGAGACACUCUAGAAGAUUGAACUCAGUCAAUAGGGGUAAACUGAGGUGGAAUUUCCUGUCUUCAAAUAAUACACCAUCCUGAAGAAUUCUAACAUUUGUACCCAGGCAACACAUCACAACAACAAUUUUACAAAUAAGAAGACUGUGUUCAAGAGAGGCCUUUUUGGCAAUUCACAGGAGAAAUAAAAAUGUAACUUCCAGGGCCAGCGUUUGCCCAGCUCUUGCUGUGGGGGCCAAGCCCAAAGUUAACAAGGACUGACAUUAAUCAUCACAUCAUUUCUAAAUGGAGUUUGCAUCCAGGAAGAACCUAAGCGAGUUUUCUCUCCUCUUAUGAGACUUUUUGCGUAUGUGCUAUAAGUCAUUCAGGGGAAAAAACCCUGGGGCAUAAUUUCAUGGGAGGGAAGGGCUUGUUUAAAUAGGAACUUUAUGCCACAGUACAUGACUAAGAAACUAUGUAAGUAUGAACCCUAGGGCCCUGUCUUCCUGAUUCAGCCAAGCCAGGUAAUUGCUGCAAAGUAUUCAAAGAUUCCUUGUUAUUUUGAAUGAAGUGAGUUCAGAAAUAUUGCUCAAAUAUGACACAGACAACCCUGGGGUGAAGCCAGACUUUGAGAUUGGAGAUUACACACACACACACACAAAAACCCAAACCCCAAACUGUAAUAGCAUAGCCUACAUUUUAAUAUUAAAGAUGUGUAGUUUGGCUAUUAUGAGGGAGUAUUGCAAUCACAUAGUUGCUUAAUUAAAAUGCUGCCUUUCAAAACAUCUACUAAGAAAUUCAAAAUCUGGCCAUCCAAAUGAACAUUCCCUAAAACUUUAAGUCACUUUUAUUGGUGCUAUAACAAUUCUACACUAAAUGUAGUUUCUCCCAAGAGGGUAAAGACUGACAUUCAAAAACAUGAAUUCUGAGGACAAGGACCAAUUAGAGACAACAAAUAGCUGUCCCAAUCUCAGUGAGAUAAUGAACACGAAAGUGUUUAGGAACAUUAUCCAUCUGGAGCUGGUUCUACGAUUUCAUCACCCCCACCUCCUUUUCAAGCCUCCUUCAGGUAUUUCUGGAAGAUCUCAGGGUGUAUAUCUGAGUACUCACAAAUCAGUUGGGCUAUUUUGUUUUUUUCUGCUCUGACCUUCACCAGGUGGUAUCACCAAUAUCUACUCGGCCUUGCAAAUAUUUUAAUAGAUGUUGUCAUACCUCCUUCUAGCACCCUUAUCUCAGGCAGGCCCCAUGUCUUUUCCAUUGGGAUACCCAUGAGAAUGCCACACUCCCCUCUGUAGAAGCCUGCUUGUUCAGUGGGUACCAAAGCAUUGUUUGUGUGUUGCUAUCUUACCAGGGCUUAGUCAAAAUUUUUUUUUGAGACACUCUUACUCUGUCGCCCAGGCUGGAGUGCAGCGGUACAGUCUCCGCUCACUGCAACCUCCACCUCCCAUGUUCAAGCGAUUCUCCUGCCUCAGCCUCCCAAGUAGCUGGAACUACAGGCGUGUGCCACCAUGCUCUGCUAAUUCUUGUCUUUUUAGUAGAGACGAGGUUUCACCAUGUUGGCCAGGCUGGUCUCGAACUCCUGACCUCUGGUAAUCUUCCCGCCUCAGUCUCCCAAAGUGCUGGGAUUACAGGCAUGAGCCAUUGUGACCAGCCAAGUUUUAUAUUUAUAGUUCUUAUCACUGGGAAUAGAGUUCAAAGGGCUAGGCCAGUAGACAAUUCCCCAACACACGAUAUUCACUGCUCUCAGAAGUGCCCCCAUCCUCUGAUUUCUAUGGCAACUUUUACUAUUGGAGUCCUCCUCUUCCCAUGACUUUUUUUCCAAGGGCUUCUCACAAAUCCUUAUGCAAACAGACUUCCAGUGGGAAAGCACCACACAUGCUUCCUUAGUUAUGCUGCUCCUUCUGGAGGCCCCCAGCCUUCCCACCCACCUAAAGGGGUGACAGUCAUAGUGUAGAGCAGGGAUUGGCAAACUAAGGCCCAAGAGCCAACUCUGCCUCACCACCUGCUCCUGCGCAGCCUGCAAGAUAAAGAUAAGAUAAAGAUAAGAAUUUUUUUUUUUUUUUUUGAGACAGUCUCGCUCUGUCACCAGGCUGGAGUGCAGUGGUGUGACCUCUGCUCACGGCAACCUCUGCCUCCCAGAUUCAAGCCAUUCUCCUGCCUCAGCCUCCUGAGUAGCUGGGACCACAGGCACAUGCCAUUACACACAGCUAAUUUUUGUAUUUUUAGUAGAGACGGGGUUUCACCAUAUUAGCCAGAAUGGUCUCGAUCUUCUGACCUCGUGAUCCGCCCGCCUCAGCCUCCCAAAGUGCUGGCAUUACAGGGGUGAGCCACCACGCCUGGCCAAGAUAAGAAUGUUUUUUACAUUUUUAAAUGAUAAAGAAAAACAUCAAAAGAAGGAUAAACAAUAAUAUUUCUUUUCUUUCCUUUCCUUUUCUUUUCUUUCCUUUCCUUUUUUUAAGAUAAGGUAUCACUCUUAUCGCCCAGGCUAGAGUGCAGUGGCACAACAAUCGCAGCUCACUACAAGGUCAACCUCCCCAGGCUCAAGUGAUCCUUUCACCUCAGCCUCUUGAGUAGCUGGAACAACAUGUGUGUGCCAACACACAUCUAAUUUUUGUGUUUUUUGUAGUGACAGGAUUUCUUCAUGUUGCCCAGGCUGGUCUUGAACUCCUGGACUUUAGCAAUCUGCCCACUUCGGCCAUUCAAACUGCUGGGAUUACAGGGGUGAGCCACUGCACCUGGCCAGAAUAAUAUUUCAUAUGCAUAAAAAUACAUGAAAUUCAAAUUUCAAAUCUACUGUUAAAAGAAAGACCAUAGCCAAAUUAAAUUUAACAUACUUUAAUUGAGCAAAGAACGACUUGAGAAUCAGGCAGCCUCCUGAGCCGGGGUAGGCUCAGCAACUCCAGUGCAGCCACGUGGUGGAAGACGAUUUAUAACAGAAGAAGGAAAGUGAUGUACAGAAAACAGAAAUGAGGUACAGAAAACGGAAAUGGGGUACAGAAACAGGCGGAUUGGUUACAGCUCAGCAGCUGGGCGUUUACCUUAUUUGAAGACAGUUUUAACAGUUUGCCUCCUCUGAUUGGCCAAAACUCAGUGAUUGGCACAAGAAUAGGUUUUGGUCUGUUUACACUUCCAUUGAGAUUAUAGUUCGCUAUGUACAGAGAAACCUUUAGGCUGAACUUAAAAUAUGUAAGGAGGCAGGUUUAGUCUAAACUUGAUCUAACACAACUAAUGAAGUUUUACUGGGACACAACCACACUCAAUUCAUUGUAUGUAUUGCUCAUAGAGGCUUCCCUGCUACAACUGCAGAGUUGAGUGGUUGCAACAAGGCCAUAUGGCCUGCAAAGCCUGGGAACUAUCCAUAGUGGGGCCUUUAUAGCAAAAGCUUGCAGACCUCUGCUUUAGAGCAUGGACCCUGGAGUCAGGCUGUCUGGGUCUGGAUUUUAUUUUGCCACUAAUUAAUUAUGUAGGUAAUUUCUGGACACCUCCUAAGCCACAUUUGUGAGGUGGGAAUGACCGGAGAGUUAUAUUUACCUCAUUAGGUUGUAUGGGGAUUAAACAAGGUGAUUUGGAGCCAG
RNAcentral lists this long non-coding RNA (3557 nucleotides) under Homo sapiens (human). RNAcentral's name for it is "HSALNT0134359". The record is from RNAcentral. Lineage: Eukaryota; Metazoa; Chordata; Mammalia; Primates; Hominidae.